GAUAAGAUAAGAAAUUUUCUUUUUCAGCAUAAAUCAAACGUCUCUCAGCUAAAGCACUAGCUAGGGACUUCGUCCAAUCAAUGAAAAAUGAGCCUUUAAUGAGAUCUUAGCAUAUUAAUAGUCACAAUCACCUUAAGCACCUUUGAUCUCAUUACAUUUGAGAAUGAAUUUAAAAACUAGCAAAGCAAACACAUCCUAGAAUUGGUCCGAAAAUACCCAUCCAGUUCAUUCUAGCAAGUCUCCAUGUAGCAUUAGUAUUCAUGAAUACCACUUGUUGAAAAUGCCAACUAGGCAUGGGAAGACGAUAUGGAUGAUCACCACCUUAUACUCAAUUCCUCUUGAGAAGCACAUUCAGGCAUCACUUCAAUCAUCCAUGAUUACUCUAUGUGAUCCUGGUGUUCUUUUUCACAAGCUGUUACUCAACAACGUUUCCAAAUAAUGUAGGUAAGAUUUUCAAGAUGAUUCAACACGUACACAACAUAUUAAUUAAAUGGAUUCCUAUCCAAUAUAUAUAAUAAUGUUUUCCAAACAAUAAAUCUUAGUCGUCUUUGAAGGGCCCUUAAGUUGGCAAUACUCUACUCUCUAUCAUAAGCCAAAUUAAAUUUGAAUAAUUGUCUUCCGUAAAGGAUCCUUUUCCAAGCACAGAUAGGACACAUUACUCCCCAAAUCCUAAUUCAUUUAGAAAGGCAUAAGGAUAAAAUAUAGGAUAUUCACUAACUUUUAUUAGCCAACAGCAGUCUCGUUAAAGACAUGGAGAGCCAAAGCAUAGCAGUUUCCAAAGUACUAUACAUGCACACAAAACUACGCCAAUGAAUUUUGUUAAUUGAAAUUGAAAAGAACCCCAUAAAAUUAGGGUAUUGUAAAUGCAUGAAUGAAGAUGGCUAAUGUUGUGAGCAUUAACAUUUUGAGAAUUGAAAACAACUCAGAGUGUAAGUGGGGAUAACUUUUGGUCCCCUCCUUAAUAUUAACAUACUUGGUUGCGGCCUCCUACACACAACAACUUUUCCUUUUCACCUCUACCGAUCGAAUCUUCCACUCUCUCUUAGAGGGACCGAAAAACGUAGCAUUUAUACUUUUCAACAUCCCCAAAAGAACCUCCAAAAAUUUGUCCCACUGAGGAGCUAGUGAUCAAUGCCAAAGAUUUAAUUCUGCUUCUCUAAAAUUAUAUUGUUCUACUACAAAAAUUACAGCAACCUAAAUUUAAAUGAUAUAGUCCAAUCAUCAAAUAUUCAAAUUUGUUAAAUAUCACUAUAAAAAAAAAUUGUAUAUCUCUCCACCCAUAAAUUCUCCAUAAAAUGUCCAAAAAAAGUGUCCCAAAAUCAACUCUUAACCAACAACACCUCGUUGGAAUGUCGACACAAACGACCAUUGCCGAUGUAGAUAAUGUGCGUCGGUUUAGACGAGCAAGCCUGAUGUCUUAAUUCAAAACAUCAUACUUGAACCGUCCUUUUUGUUUUUUCUUUUUUAAUUUAUCAUCCAUGUUUCUCCGACGACGCAUAGGGAAGAAUUGUCGAGAAAACCUAAACCCUCAAUUUUAUUGUUAACCUUUCCGCGACGUCAAGGACAAAAACGUCGGGGAAUAGUUAAAUAAUUAUUUUACUAAUUAAUUUUUUCCAACGGCAUUAGUGAAAUGUCGACCUUGGUUUGGACAAAGGCCGACGUAUCACUUACAACGUUGGGAAAAGUUCGAUUGGCCGAUGACAUUUCUACACCUUAUUUGUUUCGUAUUCACAGAACACACAGAUGAUGAGAAACAAAAGAGAGAAUAGGCCGAGCUAAUUAUGGAAAAAAGGUAGUGUCUAAAUCUCAUUUUCUUAAAAAAAAAUCUUCAACACACCUCACAUCGUAAUAUUUGUUUUGCUUCUACAUUUUUCCAAUUGUAUAACUUUCUCAACUUUUUUCUUAUGUUGUGAAGUUGUUAAAGUUAGAGAAUCAUAUUAGAAGCUUGAAUCCCUCAACAAUGUUUGAACAUCACUAACCUCAACUCAAAGGAAACAAAAAGUCAAAAAUCACUGAUAGCAUUAUAUAUAUAUAUAUACAAUUUAUCAUCUUAAUGUUACACCCAUAGCAUUAUAGAAGAUAGAGUCUAUUGUGAUAACCUAGGAUAUGAGUCUAUCAUUGAUAGACUACUAUCAGUAAUGGACUAGGAUGCAAAUCUAUCAUUGAUAUACUACUAGAUAGACUAAUAUCACUGAUGGACUAGCAUAAGAGUAUCAUUGAUGGACUAAUAUCACUGAUGGACUAGCAUAAGAGUAUCAUUGAUGGACUAAUAUCACUGAUGGACUAGCAUAAGAGUAUCAUUGAUGGACUAAUAUCACUGAUGGACUAGCAUAAGAGUAUCAUUGAUGGACUAAUAUCACUGACGGACUAGGAUAAGAGUCCAUCAUGGACUACUAUCACUGAUGGACUAGAAUACGAGUCUAUCAUUGAUGGACUACUAUUAGUGAUGGACUAGGAUACGAGUCUAUCAUUGAUAGACUACUAUCAGUGAGACUAAAAUAUUAGUGAUGCACUAGGAUACAAGUCCAUCAAUGAUAGACUAACGUCACUAUGCUCAUAUUAACUAAUUCAACUAAUAGUCUAUCCGUGAUAACUUGUAUUCACGAAUAUUUUUAGAGAAAAAAAUGAAUUUAUUUUAACCUAAAAAUGUAGAAGUGAGAAAAAUUCUUAAUAUGCUCAAUUUCUACGAAUCCUCAAACUGAUGAAGUCCAAUGUAAGUGAAAUUAAACACAUUUUUUAAUAUAAAAAUACUAGUAAAAUCAAUUGAAUUUAGCAAAAUCACCCUAGAGUGAUGAAAUUAAAUCAAAUUGUAAAAAUUAGAUGAAGUAAAAUUUUACGGAAGAAUCACAUAUAAAAACAAUAUCAAACUGAGAUUGAAAAAAAUCGCCGAGUGAAGAAAUGAUCUUAAAGUAGAAGAAAAUCACAGAGAAGAUGGAGAAGAAACGAUGGAGAAUGGAAAAAAAGACGUGAAUAUAGAGAAUGAAGAAAACAAAAGUGAAAAUGGAAAGUGGAUAAUAGGGAGAAGGAGAGAAAAUUGUGGAGAUUUCUUUUAAAACAAGGACAAUUUUGAAAUAUUUUUAAAAAGAAUACAAAAUUUGUUAUAUUUGCAAAUUAUUCAAGCAAUUGUUAUAUACUUAAUAUUUUAUGCCAAAAAAGUUAUGUAUUAUAAAAUUUCUAUGAUAAAAAAGGAAAGAAAAUUAGGAUAAAUAUGUCCAUGGGCCAAACCCGAGUAAUUAUAACAAAAUGUAUUAAUAGAGUUCUAAGAUUGAGACUCCCUCUACAAAGACUCAAACCUUGUUUCAAAUUGUGAGACUCCCUUUUACUUGAAUUCUAUAUUUCCUUUCAGAAAUAAAAUUCUGUGUGUCCAUGAGGAUCUCUAAUAAGAUGAAUCAAGAAACACAAAGCUGUAAGAAAUACGAGGGAAGAAGUGCAGCGCUCUCACAAUCGUCAAUUAAAUGUGACUAAAACACAAAUAUAGAGAAUCUCACUAUUGCUUCUUCUACUUCAAUGAAACAACCAACUCAGCCCAACCACUAAAUAUCCUCUAAAUAUGUAAUGAAGAAAGUGAAGAAGUUUGCAACCCUACUUUCUAAAAUGCUCUCUCUCAAAUCAAAACAAAAUAGACAAAAACACUACAAAAACGAAAUUCCUAAUAAGAAAAAUAUCUUGCAGAGUCUACCUCCCCUAAAACUAAAAACAUUUUAUCACCUUAGACAUUACGUGAUCACCUUAAACAGAUAUUAUCGAUUUCAGAAAACCUAAAAAAAAUAAGUCACAUAAUAUCAAUAAUGUGCAUAAAAAAUUGUUUUUUGUAAUAUUUUUCAUAAACUUCUAUCGUCCUCAACUUGUUAUCGAUAUUUUCAUCACAUUGACUUUCUAUCACCAUGUCUCAAUGUUUUCUCAUGAAAAAGAUGAGAUGAAGUUUUAUAAAAAAGAAAAUAAAAUUACGAAGGUUUAUUAUAUAUAUAAAUUGUAUAUAUAUUAGGAACAACUAUGAUGUCAGCUCAAAGGUUAGAGAUCCAACAUAAGCUCAACCUUAAAGGAACGAAACCCCCUAACGUAUCAGGCAAGAAUUGUUGGACUGGUUGACCUCAAUCCAAGAAUGACUCCAACCAAUAUCAACAACUCUCUUCUCCUUCAAACCUUCAAGAACUUAGUUAUGUCGAUGAGAUCUCACAAAUGUUAGAUAACAUUCAUAAGCUUAGGUUAUUUUACUCCAUUUAAUUUCUUCAUGAUUGGUGAAUGUCUAUUUAAGAAAUUGGUCAAGCAAAUGGUUUCAAAUGAGAAAAAUAAUGCAAUUAAAACAUUACAAAUCAGUCACUGAUCUAAGACUGAUCUGUUGAUCAUUUUAUACUUUCUUUAGAUAAAAUGUGCAACCAAAAUGAUGAUGUCUUCGUUUAUUAAAUAAAGUUAAAAAUUAUUACAAAGACAGAAACAAUAAAUUUACUUUUACUUCCUAUAAAAAGUAAUAGAUUUGAAUCCUCUCUUCCUUCCUACACUUGGACACAAUCUCCCAAGUAGAAAAGUCCUAUGGUCACUACAUUAUAAAUUGCACAAAUUAUUUAUUUGACUAUUAGGUAACAAUGACACAUUUCCAUCAAUUAACGAUAGCCACAUAUACUAAUCUAAGACUUUACAAAUUAUGACCAUUAGGUGGAAGAACAGACUUCACAACUUAAAGAUAACAUGGGUCUAAUGUCCUUACCAGUUCUAUACUUUCACGAAAUAUUCCUUGUAAUUAAACAAGAAAACUCAGCACUGACAAACAAACGUUGAAAAAGGACUAUCAUUGAGAUUGUUGGGUGAAGAUAUAUACAAUAAGAAUAAGAAUAAGAAUAAAAAUAAAAAAACAAAACUUCCAAAACUUCCAAAACUUUCAAAACUCACCUGUGUGUCCGCAGGAAAUUGCAGUAUCUGCUAAGUAUAAGCUCUCUCUGGUUACUUAAAAAUGGAAGGAAAGCCCCAAAAACUGAUCCAAAUCCCCAGAGUAAAACUGGGUAGCCAAGGAUUAGAGGUAUGCUUGAUCACUUC
RNAcentral lists this long non-coding RNA (5031 nucleotides) under Cucumis sativus (cucumber). RNAcentral's name for it is "long non-coding RNA (CSAT_LNC000631)". The record is from RNAcentral. Lineage: Eukaryota; Viridiplantae; Streptophyta; Magnoliopsida; Cucurbitales; Cucurbitaceae.